GCGGGUGUGGCGGAACUGGUAGACGCGCUAUCUUGAGGGGGUAGUGCCCGUCAGGGCGUGUGGGUUCGAGUCCCACCACCCGCACCA
Molecule: transfer RNA, 87 nt
Filed under: bacterium
Lineage: Bacteria
Also listed under: 1 other name
Description: tRNA-Leu
Rfam family: tRNA
About the family: Transfer RNA (tRNA) molecules are approximately 80 nucleotides in length. Their secondary structure includes four short double-helical elements and three loops (D, anti-codon, and T loops). Further hydrogen bonds mediate the characteristic L-shaped molecular structure. tRNAs have two regions of fundamental functional importance: the anti-codon, which is responsible for specific mRNA codon recognition, and the 3' end, to which the tRNAs corresponding amino acid is attached (by aminoacyl-tRNA synthetases). tRNAs cope with the degeneracy of the genetic code in two manners: having more than one tRNA (with a specific anti-codon) for a particular amino acid; and 'wobble' base-pairing, i.e. permitting non-standard base-pairing at the 3rd anti-codon position.
Source: RNAcentral